RNAcentral lists this ribosomal RNA (208 nucleotides) under uncultured Spirochaetaceae bacterium. Its description in RNAcentral is "partial 16S ribosomal RNA". It matches the Rfam family "Bacterial small subunit ribosomal RNA", at positions 568 to 774 of the family's 1533-position model. The record is from RNAcentral. Lineage: Bacteria; Pseudomonadati; Spirochaetota; Spirochaetia; Spirochaetales; Spirochaetaceae.
CAUGUAGGCGGAUAUGCAAGCUUGGUGUGAAAGGCAGGGGGCUUAACUCCUGGACUGCGUUGAGAACUGCAUAACUAGAGUAACUGAGGGGCAACCGGAAUUCCAGGUGUAGGGGUGAAAUCUGUAGAUAUCUGGAAGAACACCAAUGGCGAAGGCAGGUUACCAGCAGAUUACUGACGCUGAGGUGCGAAGGUGCGGGGAGCAAACA